CGGGAUCCAUCGGGCUUUGCCUGGUGGUGAGAGUGGCGAACGGGUGAGUAAUGCGUGACCGACCUGCCCCAUGCACCGGAAUAGCUCCUGGAAACGGGUGGUAAUGCCGGAUGCUCCAUCACACCGCAUGGUGUGUUGGGAAAGCCUUUGCGGCAUGGGAUGGGGUCGCGUCCUAUCAGCUUGAUGGCGGGGUAACGGCCCACCAUGGCUUCGACGGGUAGCCGGCCUGAGAGGGCGACCGGCCACAUUGGGACUGAGAUACGGCCCAGACUCCUACGGGAGGCAGCAGUGGGGAAUAUUGCACAAUGGGCGCAAGCCUGAUGCAGCGACGCCGCGUGAGGGAUGGAGGCCUUCGGGUUGUAAACCUCUUUUGUUAGGGAGCAAGGCACUUUGUGUUGAGUGUACCUUUCGAAUAAGCACCGGCUAACUACGUGCCAGCAGCCGCGGUAAUACGUAGGGUGCAAGCGUUAUCCGGAAUUAUUGGGCGUAAAGGGCUCGUAGGCGGUUCGUCGCGUCCGGUGUGAAAGUCCAUCGCUUAACGGUGGAUCCGCGCCGGGUACGGGCGGGCUUGAGUGCGGUAGGGGAGACUGGAAUUCCCGGUGUAACGGUGGAAUGUGUAGAUAUCGGGAAGAACACCAAUGGCGAAGGCAGGUCUCUGGGCCGUUACUGACGCUGAGGAGCGAAAGCGUGGGGAGCGAACAGGAUUAGAUACCCUGGUAGUCCACGCCGUAAACGGUGGAUGCUGGAUGUGGGGCCCGUUCCACGGGUUCCGUGUCGGAGCUAACGCGUUAAGCAUCCCGCCUGGGGAGUACGGCCGCAAG
RNAcentral lists this ribosomal RNA (821 nucleotides) under Bifidobacterium sp. HGAT5. Its description in RNAcentral is "bacterial SSU rRNA". It matches the Rfam family "Bacterial small subunit ribosomal RNA", at positions 67 to 892 of the family's 1533-position model. Lineage: Bacteria; Bacillati; Actinomycetota; Actinomycetes; Bifidobacteriales; Bifidobacteriaceae. The record is from RNAcentral.